Molecule: ribosomal RNA, 462 nt
Filed under: uncultured bacterium
Lineage: Bacteria
Description: partial 16S ribosomal RNA
Rfam family: Bacterial small subunit ribosomal RNA
Source: RNAcentral
GACGAACGCUGGCGGCGUGCUUAACACAUGCAAGUCGAGCGACGCUCUUCCUUCGGGGAGAUGACGGAGCGGCGAACGGGUGAGUAACACGUGGGCAACCUGCCCCUAGCUCUGGGACAACACCGGGAAACCGGUGCUAAUACCGGAUACGACAUCGAGCGGCAUCUCUCGAUGUGGAAAGUUUUUUCGGCUAGGGAUGGGCCCGCGGCCUAUCAGCUUGUUGGUGGGGUAAUGGCCCACCAAGGCGACGACGGGUAGCCGGCCUGAGAGGGCGACCGGCCAACCUGGGACUGAGACACGGCCCAGACUCCUACGGGAGGCAGCAGUGGGGAAUAUUGCGCAAUGGGCGAAAGCCUGACGCAGCGACGCCGCGUGAGGGAUGACGGCCUUCGGGUUGUAAACCUCUUUCAGCAGGGACGAAUUCAGACGGUACCUGCAGAAGAAGCACCGGCCAACUACGUG